RNAcentral lists this non-coding RNA (117 nucleotides) under Callithrix jacchus (white-tufted-ear marmoset). The record is from Rfam by way of RNAcentral. Lineage: Eukaryota; Metazoa; Chordata; Mammalia; Primates; Cebidae.
GCUGGGCAUGGUGGCUCAUGCCUGUAAUUCCAGCAUGUUGGGAGGCUGAGGCAGGUGGAUCAUUUGAGGUCAGGAGUUUGUGACCAGCCUGACCAACAUAGUGAAACCCUGUCUCUA